Molecule: ribosomal RNA, 776 nt
Filed under: uncultured Neocallimastigales
Lineage: Eukaryota; Fungi; Neocallimastigomycota; Neocallimastigomycetes; Neocallimastigales
Description: partial large subunit ribosomal RNA
Rfam family: Eukaryotic large subunit ribosomal RNA
Source: RNAcentral
UAUGUGAUCGUCUCUUGCAUAUCAAUAAGCGGAGGAAAAGAAACUAACAAGGAUUCCCCUAGUAACGGCGAGUGGAAGCGGGAAGAGCUCAAAUUUGAAAUCUUAAAGGGUUUCCCUUUACGAAUUGUAGUUUAAAGAAGUGUUUUCUGUUGAGGUUUUGGUAAAAGUUCUUUGGAAUAGGACAUCAUAGAGGGUGAGAAUCCCGUAUUUGACCUUUACUUUCAACUUUGUGAUACACUUUCAAAGAGUCGGAUUGUUUGGGAAUGCAGUCCAAAAUGGGUGGUAAAUUUCAUCUAAAGCUAAAUAUUGGCGAGAGACCGAUAGCGAACAAGUACCGUGAGGGAGAGAUGAAAAGAACUUUGAAAAGAGAGUUAAACAGUACGUGAAAUUGUCAAAAGGGAAGCGUUUGACACCAGUGUUGUUUUUCUGAAAAUCAAUUAAAGAACUGUUUAUGCUAAGCUGUUUAGACUUUAUCAGCUAACUGUUUAGUUUUGAGCUUUUCUCUUAAUGCACUUUUCAGUUAACAAGUCAACAUCAAUUUCUUUUGCUGUAAAAAAGCUUGAGGAAGGUGGCUUGAGAUUCGUCUUAAGUGUUUAUAGCCUCUUGCCUAUGCAGUCGGAGAGAUUGAGGUCUGCAGCGUAGAUCCUUCGGGGCUAAAUGCAUUUGUGCUAAGUUAUAACAUUUUAUAGACAACUUGUUGACUAUGAUUUGUCUUGUAGCUUACUCGCUUAUGUUAUUUUACCUACGCUUAGGAUGUUGAGUAGCGACAUACGCAC